Molecule: ribosomal RNA, 115 nt
Filed under: Cordylochernes scorpioides
Lineage: Eukaryota; Metazoa; Arthropoda; Arachnida; Pseudoscorpiones; Chernetidae
Source: RNAcentral
ACGGCCAUACCACAUUGAAAACACCGAUUCUCGUCCGAUCACCGAAGUUAAGCAAUGUCGGGUCCGGUCAGUAUUUGGGAGGGUGACCACCUGGGAACACCGGGUUCUGUAGGCC